RNAcentral lists this ribosomal RNA (322 nucleotides) under uncultured Sandonidae. RNAcentral's name for it is "SSU rRNA". The stretch from base 106 to 322 matches the Rfam family "Eukaryotic small subunit ribosomal RNA", at positions 737 to 955 of the family's 1831-position model. The record is from RNAcentral. Lineage: Eukaryota; Cercozoa; Glissomonadida; Viridiraptoridae.
GAUUUCUGGCUUGGUGCGCCUGGCCCGCCACGGUUACGUGUGUGAGUGCUGGGUCGCGCCUGCCAUCCUUCUAGAGAACGUCUCUACUCUUCAUUGAGCCGGAGGCGCUAUCUAGAUCUUUUACUUUGAAAAAAUUAGAGUGUUUAAAGCAGGCUUUUGCUAUGAAUACAUUAGCAUGGAAUAAUAAUUUAGGACUUCGGUUCUAUUUUGUUGGUUUCUAGGACUGAAGUAAUGAUUGAUAGGGAUAGUUGGGGGUGCUAGUAUUCAGCGGCCAGAGGUGAAAUUCUCGGAUUCGCUGAAGACUAACUUAUGCGAAAGCAUU